AGUGCCCAAGCCAGGAAUCAUUUUUACACCUUGCAAGCAAGCAUCCCUCUUUUAAUACCAUCUUUGUUCAUAGCGACUCUGUUCUCCAAGUCAUAAUACCUAAUCUUACUGGGGAGGAGAGUGCACAAUAUACAAAGUAAUGGCUGGAAUGGUGUGCAGGAUCUUUGGGUGUAAAUCACUGCCACUCCAAGAAAUUCAACAGAGCACUGUUCAGUUACAGUCACUGCCUCAAGUUACUAGCAAUGAAGUCUCUGGUGCAGAAGAGUACCAAGAGAGACUUGCAAAAUGCAAGAUUGUCUUAUUUUGAAAAGAAACCUGUGCCAUGUCACUAUCAGUUCUUCCUAGCCAGCAAUCAGAAGUCAACAAAUCACAAAAUUUGAAUGCAAAAAUGGACUACUGAGAAAAUGAGAGGGCAGCCAGACCCCAUCUCCAACUGAUUCCUGAAUCUUUGAGAAGAUACCUCAGCAAGAAUGGCUGUACAUGGAAGUAGCUGUAGCAGCUACACCAUGUUGCUUUUCAUAAAGUGAGGAACUUUGUAAUAGGGACAGACUCUGAAGGUGAUACUGUUUUUCUUUCUACUUGUUUUAUUAUUGAGUCUUUGGAGAGCACAUGGGAAAGAAAUAUUUCUCCAUGACUUUCUGGUUCUUUAGCAGUGGAGAGCAGUGACUGAGCAGUAGGACAAUGGCUAAUGAGAAUGGAUGUUGUAGGUACCCAUGCCUCACGCCUUUACAUCUUUGAGGUCUGAAAACAUGCAAGGGAGUCAGACCUUGUUCUAAGGAGCUUUAUGCUAUUGUUCUGCUUGGAAAUACUUCGUGUACUGCUUUCCUGACAUUUAUUGCCUCCUGAAGGCAGUUGCAUUUAGCAUGCUUUUCUGUAAGCCUAUAUUCUUCUAGCCCCAGCCUUCAGACAGGAAAGCCUGGACUUAUCAAAGCGAUGUUCUCUGGGUGUGACCUGUACUAAAUCUGCAGCUGUCUGGAGAAGUUUUCCCUGAAGGGAAUGCUGAGGGUGUACUGUGAGAUAUCAGCUUCUCAGAUGUGUGGUUGGAGUCCAUACAUCAUCUCAUACAGGGGAGCGCACGUCUGUACCCCACUUCAAGUGGGAGGGCUGAAAGCAAGUUCACUGCAAGGGCUUGGCUUUGUUACACUGAUAAUGUAAUCAAUGAGUUCAUGAUUAAGAAAUCAUUCUAACAGAGACAAAGCAUCAGUGGUGCUGCGCACCAACCAUUACCAUUGGCAUCAAUGACACUUGCAGGUGCUGACUAUCACAGUUGUACAUGGGCGUCUCUGUUUGGCCCAGGCCUCACCUUCUGCCAGGAGGGGCUUAGUGCGUUUCCUGCUCUGGAGCAGUAUGACAUUCAUACCUGGCAGAUCCAGUUGCACUUAGACACAAGCUGUUCUUCUUGGCUGGAAUUUUUUAAUUAGUGAAAUAAAGUUAUCACACUGCUUUAAAUCCAGUUUAACAGCAGGAAGAAAGGUUUAGCGAAAGCAAACCUUUAAUAAAGCUUCAUUUAUUUUAACUACAAUUCUCACCAUCCCCUGAAAGUCAUGUAGGUAGGCCAGCUUCUUCACAUACCCUCAGUGAGUGCCUGCUACUCAUCUAGGGUUCCUGAGCAACUGCAUUUUUUCCCAAGUUUGGUUUUAGGCCUAAAAUGAGGUGCCAGCCUUGCCUCCUAAUAGCUAUUAAAUGUGUUUUGAAAAGCGGUUCCACUGUAGCUGCUUCUGCUCCUCUUGUUUACACUUUUCCAGGCUGAUAUGUUUUGGUGCAUUACCUAUGAGUUAUUCUAGAGCAGCUCCAAAGCUGUACCAGGGAGCAUUCCCAGGUGCUGGCACAAGCUACCAGAGGGACGUUUACAGCAUCCUUGACUGUGCAUUUAGGUGGUUCCACUGAUUACCAAAGCAGCACAUACACUUACAGUGAUGUGAGUACUCUGGGCACCGCAGAGGAGCUUCCCACUGAAUGCGGCACAGCUGCUGAGGAGAGCGUGGCAACAGCAAGACAUGGCAUUCACUGAAGAAAGCACUUGACAAGCCAUGUGAGAACCAGCGUGAGCAGCCAGCAGGCACAGCCCCAUCCUCUCGGAUUACUGCUCCCCAGGACAAGAACUGUGUCUUUAGUGCCUGCGUGCCUCUGCCAGGUAGAUGAUACGUACAUUAGACUGCAAGACUGUAAUGUGUAGAGAACUCAGCUCCUCUACCUGCUCUCUGGGACUGGUCUUUACAACUGUAAGACUUAGCAGCCCAAGACAGCUAAACAAGGUAUUGCUUUUUGCUUAUUCCAGCCACAUCCAAGCAUUUUUAUCUGUAACUAUCACAGCAAGGAAAAUAAGGAAUGCCACUCUCACAGUUAAUUUUUAUGGCUGAUUAAUUACCCCGAAGAGUAUUAAAUUGUGCUAAUGUAGUUUGCCUCUUCGAUGCUGUGUUUUGACUUCAAUGGAACUUAGUACGUGCUUAAAGUUAACUACAUGCCUAAGUGCUGUGGUGAAUCGGGGCCUAGGGCAUUAAUUAGAACUUGGCUCAGAUUUACUUUCAAGGCUUUUUUCUCCUUUUUUUUCUUUUUUUAACUCUUCAGAGCUCAGCAGUUUAAUUGGUAUGCAGAUGUUCCCCUUUAUUGCUGGUGGAAGCCUCUGUCACUGUUCUGAAGGUACUCAGACAUCAAGGCUGGUACAGUGGGCAGGAAGAAGCCCCCCUUGAAGGCUUUCAAGCUUUGUGGGAAAUAAUGAUGUAUGAGACAGGGAUUCCUUUGGAACCUGAAGGGAACAUGACAGAUAGAAUAAUAUGGGAGGAAAACAUUGUCUUCACAAUUGAGACUGAUGGUCUCAUCUUGUCUCCUUGUUAUUGUUACCAACCAAGACUGAGAUGAGCUUUCUUACGAAGAACUUCAUUUCAUGGCAGGUUCUAUAUGUUGGACGCACUGCACUCAGUGGUAGCUUUCCAUCCAAGGUACAGAUAUUGACAGGCUCUGAGGAACUCUUUGGGAUGGUGCUUUAGCUUAAAACCUAAAAUUCCUUCCAGCAUUCAGAUGCAUUUUGUCAGGAGUGACAGUUGCAAUUUGAUAAUCUCUUACCACUUUGCCUGUCUAUCUCAAAUAGCUAGCUGGAGGGGAGAAACCCAGAGUUGUUGGGCACAGGAGUGUCAGCUUUAUGAGUCAGCUUUUCUCACACUUUAUUAAUUUCACUUUCCAGUGGUUAGUGAAUGUUUGGAAGAGACAACUGAUUUGUACGGAUCUGUGUAGGAUGGAGCAAAGCUGGAACUAAGGGAGCGCAAGUUGACAGCAGUGCAAUAGCUCUAAUUGACAGAUACCAAAGGCACUAUUUAAAGCAAUUUUUAUUCUGCUGUUAAAGUUAAAAAUGGCCCCCAAUUUGUCCUCAGAUUCCAAUUUAAAAAGAAAUGUUUGCAUGUAUAUUAAUUUAAAAUGGAUUAGCUGGAAUAUUAAGUGCUCCUUUUAUGUACUUGCAUUUUCAAGUUAGAUGAUCCAAGAUGCUUCUGUGCAAGAUACAGGAAGAUGACUGUUCCUUAACUCCUCCAGAGUAAAAGCUGUCUUUCAGGGGAUACUUUGCACAUGUGAGAUUUGCGCUAGUGUGUUUUGGCACUCACAAUUUCAUCAGAAAUGCAUGUCAGUGAAUGGGAGGCAGAAGGAUUAAUAUACAUGCUUCAUGUUGUGAGUACAAAAAUGCAAGUAGAAAUUACACCCGUCAUUGGAAGGUCUUGGAAAAUAUGCCUUCCUGAAUGUGAGCAGGACAAAUUAGGAAAUAUCAGAUUUCUUUUACAACUGGCUGUUACUCUUUACAUUUCUGGAGAACUGGGAUCUUGCUGUUAAUCUUACAAAAAUAGAUGCUGUGGUGAAGCCUCAGGCAUGAAUAAAAUUGGAUGUUAAUCUUAAAGCAGAUUUUUUACAGCUAUGCACUCAGAGCCAGUGAAUCCAAAUGAUUUUGGAAACUCUGUGUUUGUUACUUAGAUCAAAGUGCUGUGGGGAAAGAGGUCAGUGGCCCAGGUACAUACUGUAACAUUAGAGGGUCUUUAAAGUUGAGCAGAUAAGGGCAGCAAAUAUUAAACAUCUCUCACUUCACACAAAUAAUAGGCAAAGCUGAAAAAAGCCUGCUGACAAGAGGAGUGGGUGUUGGUGGGUGACUUGCUGCAGUUUUAGAGCUGUUAAGUGUAGGUUUUUUAGCAUUUUCAUUAUUUAAAAGUAGAGUGGUAGUUUCUUCACUCCCUCUGAAAAGUUACUAAUUUACUCUGAAAUACAGGGUAACCCACAAUGAUUUAACAGAUUUGUAAUGUGCUUUAGAGUGAUUUCAAGUAACAGACGCCCUCCUUCUCGCCAAGUUUCCCACCGUCUCAGCUCUGCCUCCGCUCCUUUCUCUGUGUACAUCUGCACCAAAAUGCAAAGCAGGGGCUGCCCCACGUGUGACUUUCAUCUCUCUAUUCCAGUGUCAACAUGCUGGGCAGCGUUGACCACUCAUGCCAGUGCAGGUUGGCCUUAUUCCCAGUGUUCAGAAAGGGGCUGAGUCAAUAACGUUUGGAUGUUGGAAAUCCCACCACAGAGCAUGGCGUGGUUCGAAAGCACUUGCUGCUCUGCUAGUACCACUGCAAGCAGACACUCCUGGUAUGCAGACCUUUUGCCAAGUACAUGGGAAGUACCAGUGGAGCAUGGCAUUGGACCACGAUUAGGGUCCCCAGGAUGCUCCUGGAAUCCAGGCAGUAUCAUCAUCUGCAGACCUCUCUGUCUGAUUCAGCGAAAGCAGCUGAGCUGUGUUCCCAAAUGGCUGUCCAACAAGACAGGCUUCAUGUGGAGAUGAGGCACUCAAAACGUUUUUCCUGGCUGUCAAGCUGAAUGGGUCUCAGCCAGCUCAUGCUCAGACCAGUUCAUGCCUACCUAUUGCUUGUGUUCAGUAGCCAUGCCUGUGGAACGAUGUUUAAGCUAAAAGCUCCUUAGCAUGAUAAUAUUUGAAUAUGAUGGAACCUUGCUGAAGAGAAGUUGGCCUUGUAUUUACUGUGAGCAGUCUCUGGUGGUUUGUGGUAGGGAGUUGGGACCUGGGGCUGAAGCCACAACCUCCAGGACCAAACCGCAGAAUUUACACACUCCUGCCAAGGCCUGCCAAUUUGUGUUCCUAGCUAAAGGUCUGUAUCACCGCUGUUUUGUAUGCUAUUGUCUUUGCUGUUCGAGGGAGGAAUCUAUUUUAUUCAGUAUAGCAAUACUGUCUAGCUUAGUUUAAUGUUAUUAGCUGCUGAUAAUGCGUUACUAUUCAGUGCAUCCAUGAGCUUGUUUAGUGUCAAUAACCGAGGGCAGAAAUACUUGAAUGGGAGCCUAGAUGGAGAUGCUUUCUCUUCCUCUUUUCCUCAUGAGAACCCACCUGCAGUACCACAUCCAGCUCUCAGACCCCCAUCACAAGAAACACAAGGGCCUGUUAGGGUGGAUCCAGAGGAGGGCCACAAAAAUGAUCAGAGGGCUCGAAAGCCUCUCCUAUGAAAAAAGCCUGAGAGGGCUGGGUUGUUCAGCCUGGAGAAGAGAAGGCUCCAGGGAAACCUUACUGCAGCUUUUCUUAAAGGAGGCUUAUAAGAAAGAUAGACUUUCUACAAGGGCAGGCAGUGAUAGGAUGAAAGAUAAAGAUUUUAAACUAAAAGCAGGUAUAUUUAGAUUAGAUAUAAAGAAGAAAUUCUCUACUGUAUUGGUGGUCUCUUCCAACCCAAACCAUUCUAUGAUUCUAUGCUGAGGUUCUGGAGUACUCCAACGUUUCUUUUGCCUUUCUUCAUUUCCCUGAUCUAGAAGGCCAGGAGAACGCUUAUCCACUCAUAACAAAUUCAAGGUGCGUGAGACUGAAAGGUCACCGUAACUUUCUAUUACUCUCCUGGUGUGACUGGUUUAAAUCACAUCUUCUAGCAAACUUUAAGGAAAUAAGGUUUUGUUACAAGGUGAGAUGGUAAGUUAGUGCCACUGACAUCUGUUGGGUAGAAUAUUUUAUUGUGAAACCAUUCUUGUUCUGGAGGCUCGGUCAACUGCUCUUGACCUGGGAGCCUACAGUGUAGAAAAGUGUGGUCAUGAGGCUGAACAGAUCUCAGUCUCAGGGAUUCAUACAUGCAACUCUCCUUGAUUUGAACUGGAGAAAGGCCAGUUUGUUCACUUUCACAUUCUGUAACUGAGAAAGAUGAAUUCUCUUCUAGAGAAGCAAUAAUUCCUUCCAUUCUUCACAAAUAGAUGAUGACUAAAGAAGGCCUGGGCUGAGUAUAGAUAUUCUUACAUUUACUCGAAAUGAAUGUAGCUCAUAACUCUUAUUUUAGCACCAAUCUGGAACACUACUGUGAACAGAUUUACAAAGUCUGUGUGUUUCUUACCUUGGCAUUCUGGUAUUUAUACUCAUUCUUGCACUGAUACUUGGGAGUUUAAUGAAGCCAAUGCCUGAAAGGUGAGUAGGUGAAAGGUUGAUAGUUUCGUUUACAAACCUGUUCCUUCUAUGUACUCCAUAAUUUUCUUUCAGUUCUGAAGUAUGAUUUUCUUCUUCUGAUACUAAGGAGUGAGGCACUGGUGGGUUUUUUUGUUUGUUUUGUUUUUGUUUUUUUUCUUCUAGCAUGUGUGUCAUCAACAGUUAUUAACUUUGUUUUAGUUGCAAGGUCCUUUGUUGCUGGAUUGAAAAAACCUACUAACUUCAACCAUGUGUUUUUAGACUAGACACUUAACAAAAACCUUUACUGCAUUUAUAAAAUGAGCAGAUUUAAUCUGAAAGUCAUUGAGAGAAACCAAUAAAGAAUUUCGUUCAUGUGA
Meleagris gallopavo (turkey) is the source of this 6756-nucleotide non-coding RNA. Lineage: Eukaryota; Metazoa; Chordata; Aves; Galliformes; Phasianidae. The record is from RefSeq and is a predicted model, not a curated record.